AUGCUCUGCUCCGACUACUUCGCCGAUGCUCCACUUCAUGGCGAGAGAACAUUUCGGCGCCGUUAUCGGAUGAGCCGAAAGCUCUUCCUCAGGAUUGUGAAUUCCAUCCGGGAGUUCGACAACUACUUCAAGUGCAAGAUGGAUUGCACUGUCGCUCUUGGAUUCACCUCCAUCCAGAAGUGCACGACAACGAUGAGGAUGCUUGCAUAUGGAGCUCCCAGUGAUUCACUCGACGACUAUGGGCGCAUGGCCGAGUCCACCAGCAUAGAGUGUUUCUACAAGUUCUGUCGGGCAGUGGUGACAGUGUUUGGGCCACAAUACUUGAGAACACCCAAUGCGGAAGACACUGCUCGGAUCCUAGCCCAGAAUGCAGCAAGAGGAUUUCCUGGGAUGCUUGGAAGCAUCGACUACAUGCAUUGGCAAUGGAAGAACUGCCCAUUUGGUUGGCAGGGGAUGUACAAAGGCGCCAAAGGCGGUUGCAGUGUGGUGCUUGAGGCGGUAGCCACACAGGACCUCUGGAUUUGGCACUCCUUUAUUGGUAUGCCAGGAACUCACAAUGACAUCAACGUGUUGCAGUGCUCUCCUGUUUUUGCCAAGCUCGUUGAGGGUCAUUCUCCUCCGGUGAACUUCGAGAUCAAUGGGCACCAAUACAACAAGUGGUACUAUCUAGCUGACGGCAGCUAUCCGAGAUGGUCGACAUUUGUAAAGACGAUCUCAAACCCUGUGGCAGGAGGCAAGAAUGCCUGGUUUGCGAAGGUUCAGGAGGCUUGCAGGAAGGAUGUCGAGCGGGCAUUUGGUGUGCUCCAAUCUCGAUUCGCUAUUGUUCGGUACCCCGCUCAGACCUGGUCAAAAGAUCAAAUGUGGGAUAUCAUGACUUGCUGUGUCAUCUUGCACAACAUGAUCAUCGAGAGCGAGCAAGAAGACCCAUUGUUUGACACUGAACCAUACUACAGGCAGGGUCCUUUAGCUGAAGUUGAUCACCAGCUACCGGCAAGUUGGACUGCCUAUCUCAGUAUGCGUCAGGAGAUCCGAGACCCACAGGUGCAUCAUCAACUGCAGAAAGAUCUGAUUGAGCACCUAUGGAGGCUCAAGGGGGACGCCGCGUGA
Molecule: ribosomal RNA, 1107 nt
Filed under: Triticum aestivum (bread wheat)
Lineage: Eukaryota; Viridiplantae; Streptophyta; Magnoliopsida; Poales; Poaceae
Description: partial small subunit ribosomal RNA
Source: RNAcentral